CCUCCGGGCGGCAGCAGUGGGGAAUAUUGGACAAUGGGGGAAACCCUGAUCCAGCGACGCCGCGUGAGUGAUGAAGUCUUUCGGUACGUAAAGCUCUAUCAGCAGGAAAGAAAAUGACGGUACCUGACCAAGAAGCCCUGGCUAACUACGUGCCAGCAGCCGCGGUAAUACGUAGGGGGCAAGCGUUAUCCGGAUUUACUGGGCGUAAAGGGAGCGUAGACGGCAGCGCAAGUCAGGGGUGAAAUGCUGGGGCCCAACCCCGGAACUGCACUGGAAACUGUGAGGCUGGAGUGCAGGAGAGGUAAGCGGAAUUCCUGGUGUAGCGGUGAAAUGCGUAGAUAUCAGGAAGAACACCGGGGGCGAAGGCGGCUUACUGGACUGUAACUGACGUUGAGGCUCGAAAGCGUGGGGAGCAAACAGGAUUAGAUACCCCAGUAGUC
RNAcentral lists this ribosomal RNA (440 nucleotides) under uncultured bacterium. Its description in RNAcentral is "partial 16S ribosomal RNA". It matches the Rfam family "Bacterial small subunit ribosomal RNA", at positions 338 to 795 of the family's 1533-position model. The record is from RNAcentral.